This 428-nucleotide ribosomal RNA is filed under the name uncultured archaeon. RNAcentral's name for it is "bacterial SSU rRNA". It matches the Rfam family "Archaeal small subunit ribosomal RNA", at positions 474 to 903 of the family's 1478-position model. The record is from RNAcentral.
UACCAGCUCUCCGAGUGGUAGGGAUGAUUAUUGGGCUUAAAGCGUCCGUAGCCGGCUUGGCAAGUCUCCUGUUAAAUUCAGCGACCUAAUCGUUGAGCCGCGGGAGAUACUACUAGGCUAGGAGGCGGGAGAGGUCGACGGUACUUCUGGGGUAGGGGUGAAAUCCUAUAAUCCCGGGAGGACCACCAGUGGCGAAGGCUGUCGACUAGAACGCGCUCGACGGUGAGGGACGAAAGCUGGGGGAGCGAACCGGAUUAGAUACCCGGGUAGUCCCAGCUGUAAACGAUGCGGGCUAGGUGUUGGGGUGGCUACGUGCCACUUCAGUGCCGCAGGGAAGCCAUUAAGCCCGCCGCCUGGGGAGUACGGCCGCAAGGCUAAAACUUAAGGAAUUGGCGGGGGAGCACCACAAGGCGUGAAGCUUGCGGUUC